This 72-nucleotide transfer RNA is filed under the name Camelus bactrianus (Bactrian camel). It matches the Rfam family "tRNA". Rfam says of the family: Transfer RNA (tRNA) molecules are approximately 80 nucleotides in length. RNAcentral also lists the same sequence under 2 other names. Lineage: Eukaryota; Metazoa; Chordata; Mammalia; Artiodactyla; Camelidae. The record is from Rfam by way of RNAcentral.
GAGGGUAUAGCUUAGUGGUAGAGCGCAUGCUUAGCGUGCACGAGGUCCUGGGUUCAAUCUCCAGUACCUCCA